CACGUAGGGACCAAGCGUUGUCCGGAUUCAUUGGGCGUAAAGAGCUCGUAGGCGGUUCGAUAAGUCGGGUGUGAAACCUCCAGGCUCAACCUGGAGACGCCACCCGAUACUGUCGUGACUAGAGUCCAGUAGGGGAGCGUGGAAUUCCUGGUGUAGCGGUGAAAUGCGCAGAUAUCAGGAGGGACACCAGCGGCGAAGGCGGCGCUCUGGGCUGGAACUGACGCUGAGGAGCGAAAGCGUGGGGAGCGAACAGG
Molecule: ribosomal RNA, 254 nt
Filed under: uncultured bacterium
Lineage: Bacteria
Description: partial 16S ribosomal RNA
Rfam family: Bacterial small subunit ribosomal RNA
Source: RNAcentral